Molecule: ribosomal RNA, 752 nt
Filed under: uncultured Acinetobacter sp.
Lineage: Bacteria; Pseudomonadati; Pseudomonadota; Gammaproteobacteria; Moraxellales; Moraxellaceae
Description: bacterial SSU rRNA
Rfam family: Bacterial small subunit ribosomal RNA
Source: RNAcentral
AUUGAACGCUGGCGGCAGGCUUAACACAUGCAAGUCGAGCGGAGAUGAGGUGCUUGCACCUUAUCUUAGCGGCGGACGGGUGAGUAAUGCUUAGGAAUCUGCCUAUUAGUGGGGGACAACAUUUCGAAAGGAAUGCUAAUACCGCAUACGCCCUACGGGGGAAAGCAGGGGAUCUUCGGACCUUGCGCUAAUAGAUGAGCCUAAGUCGGAUUAGCUAGUUGGUGGGGUAAAGGCCUACCAAGGCGACGAUCUGUAGCGGGUCUGAGAGGAUGAUCCGCCACACUGGGACUGAGACACGGCCCAGACUCCUACGGGAGGCAGCAGUGGGGAAUAUUGGACAAUGGGGGGAACCCUGAUCCAGCCAUGCCGCGUGUGUGAAGAAGGCCUUUUGGUUGUAAAGCACUUUAAGCGAGGAGGAGGAGCUCUAGACUAAUACUCUAGAUGCUUGGACGUUACUCGCAGAAUAAGCACCGGCUAACUCUGUGCCAGCAGCCGCGGUAAUACAGAGGGUGCAAGCGUUAAUCGGAUUUACUGGGCGUAAAGCGUGCGUAGGUGGUCUUUUAAGUCGGAUGUGAAAUCCCUGAGCUUAACUUAGGAAUUGCAUUCGAUACUGGGAGACUAGAGUAUGGGAGAGGAUGGUAGAAUUCCAGGUGUAGCGGUGAAAUGCGUAGAGAUCUGGAGGAAUACCGAUGGCGAAGGCAGCCAUCUGGCCUAAUACUGACACUGAGGUACGAAAGCAUGGGGAGCAAACA